This 74-nucleotide transfer RNA is filed under the name Gammaproteobacteria bacterium. RNAcentral describes it as "tRNA-Arg". It matches the Rfam family "tRNA". From Rfam's summary of the family: Transfer RNA (tRNA) molecules are approximately 80 nucleotides in length. Their secondary structure includes four short double-helical elements and three loops (D, anti-codon, and T loops). The record is from RNAcentral. Lineage: Bacteria; Pseudomonadati; Pseudomonadota; Gammaproteobacteria.
GCGCCUAUAGCUCAGCUGGAUAGAGCACAAGCCUUCUAAGCUUGGGGUCAGGAGUUCGAAUCUCUUUGGGCGCA